Non-coding RNA from Myodes glareolus (Bank vole), 1822 nucleotides. The record is from RefSeq and is a predicted model, not a curated record. Lineage: Eukaryota; Metazoa; Chordata; Mammalia; Rodentia; Cricetidae.
CCUGCACAGACCAUCGAAGAGGCAACAUGUAAGCUGUCACACUGAGAAAGGAGCCUCUGUGGUCUCUGGGUGAGAGCGAAGAAAGGCAAUGGUCUCAAACCAAUCUAACAGCCUCUAGGACGGCAUCACACAAAAUCCACCUUCUUAGCAUCAUGCUGCCCAAAGGGAGCAAAUUCCCACUAUAUAUGAAGAGCUGGAGCAGACGAAAAGAAAAGGCGAUCAAAAUGGUAAUGAGCCGAAGAUUCUCUCCUGGGCUUCGCCUGGCGAAAGGACGACUCACAGGUGAUGAGUUUGUGUCUAACGGUAGCCUGUCUGGUCACCAGCUCUUCUCCCUUACCUGAGUUCCAAACAGGACUCAGAGAACCAAGAAACACACUGCCCAACACCAGACCGCCACCAUGCAACUGAACGAACAUCCGCUGUAGGAUGCUGGCUCUAUUCACAGUCUGCAGCAUCCAGAGUCCCAAUGUGUGACCCCAGAAGCGGAUUGUCACAGAUUCCUGUAAACGCCGCUCACUGUUCUAUAAACUGUCACCAAACACGACUGUGUCGGCACCGAAGUGCCGGGAGGAAAGCUGACAGUAAGAAGGCCCCGAGUCUGUGCCUCCCGUGGCCUGGGCCAGAUCUCCAUCUGUGACCCGCCAGUGCGUGGUCCCAAGAGGCCAUCGUCCAAAUACCACCCACUCACCCUGCUGUCUGGCCAAGAUGAAAGUGUCAUUCCAGCACAGAGCCCGGGCCUCCAGUCUCAUUUCUGAGACACUCUGACCAGCUGCCUCUGAAGGACACACAGACCUUCAGCUCUGUGUCAGUGAGAAAAUUCAAACAAACAGAGGCACCUGGCCCAGGAGCACAGAGCUACCCAAUAGCAGAGACAUAUUUGAAAUUCACAUAUUUCCAACCAGUGGCAAAACCCCUGCCCCUCUACCUGUUUUCUACCCACAGGAUCAUCUUCGGAGGUCUACAUUGAAUGGUCUACGGCCACUCCUAUCCAUCUCCCGCCUUGCCUACUUUCCACAGUGACUCACAUACGGUGGAUGCUUACUAUUAUAUGCCAGCUAAUUUGAAGAUACGCAUAUCCCCAAUAGGAUAUCUACAGUAUUUUUCCACACAAGCAUGAACUUAAAUCAAUCAACUUUGUUUUCAGGUAUGCAUACUCCAUACAAGCAUCUCAGAAUCACCCAUUGCCUGGCGCACAGGGCAGCAACUGGACAACCACUCAGCAGGAAAACCACCUGUCACUCAAAGCAACCACAGACACAAAGAAUCAACAUGGUCCGGCCAAGAUUCUGCAGUAUCAUUACCAGAUAUGGAGGCAGUCCCUUUAGGGAUAUGAGUGAAUUAAGGCUGCUGUCCUAAAAGAUAGUAAGUGAGCUCAUAAUAGCUCACUCUGGAAUGUGAGUUUGCACUUUUUCCUGAUAAAUACCGAUGAGAGUAUGCAGACUAACACUGAAAACGUCUGAAUCAUGCCAGCAAACCACCUGGCUUGUUCUUCAUCUUGACUCAGUUCCUUCCCGCAACCCUUCCAGUGGCAGCAAGGCCACAGCCAAGAAGACAGCCCAGCAACAGGAGACCUUCUGCAGCUCUGAAGCCCCGGGGGAGGUCCUUGAACCUCUAUAAAGUUGGCGCUAUUAAAAUAAAGACACAGCUAUUGGUGAAUUGUGGUGCCACUCACAUGAGACAAAGCGGUUGGUGCCUGAAUGGUACUCAGUUACUGUUGGGAGGGAAAGAAAUUCUCUGAGCUUCCGAGAGGCAGGGCCUCAGUUUCCUCACUUAUAAAAUAAAGGAAAUAAAUGCUAUGUAUCUCCUUGAGUUGCGAUAAUAA